AUUGAACGCUGGCGGCAUGCCUUACACAUGCAAGUCGAACGGUAACAGGUUAAGCUGACGAGUGGCGACCGGGUGAGUCAUGUAUCGGAACGUGCCCAGUCGUGGGGGAUAACUGCUCGAAAGAGCAGCUAAUACCGCAUACGACCUGAGGGUGAAAGCUGGGGAUCGCAAGACCUCGCGCGAUUGGAGCGGCCGAUAUCAGAUUAGGUAGUUGGUGAGGUAAAGGCUCACCAAGCCGACGAUCUGUAGCUGGUCUGAGAGGACGACCAGCCACACUGGGACUGAGACACGGCCCAGACUCCUACGGGAGGCAGCAGUGGGGAAUUUUGGACAAUGGGCGCAAGCCUGAUCCAGCCAUGCCGCGUGCGGGAAGAAGGCCUUCGGGUUGUAAACCGCUUUUGUCAGGGAAGAAAAGGUUCUGGCUAAUACCUGGGACUCAUGACGGUACCUGAAGAAUGAGCACCGGCUAACUACGUG
Molecule: ribosomal RNA, 477 nt
Filed under: uncultured bacterium
Lineage: Bacteria
Description: partial 16S ribosomal RNA
Rfam family: Bacterial small subunit ribosomal RNA
Source: RNAcentral